AUUGAGAUCUCUCCCAAUGGGCUUUUUCUAUUAGCCUACAUUGUUGGAAACAUCUCACAGAGUAAAUAUGUGGAUAUUUUUAUUCACAGAAUUAUGUGAGUAAAUUAUGUGUUACAUCUGUGGGAAAUAACUAUAAGACAGAG
Small nucleolar RNA from Physeter macrocephalus (sperm whale), 143 nucleotides. The record is from Ensembl. Lineage: Eukaryota; Metazoa; Chordata; Mammalia; Artiodactyla; Physeteridae.